CAGCAGUAGCCGCGGUAAUACGGAGGGUGCAAGCGUUAAUCGGAAUUACUGGGCGUAAAGCGCACGCAGGCGGUCUGUCAAGUCAGAUGUGAAAUCCCCGGGCUUAACCUGGGAACUGCAUUUGAAACUGGCAGGCUAGAGUCUUGUAGAGGGGGGUGGAAUUCCGCGUGUAGCAGUGAAAUGCGUAGAUAUGCGGAGGAACACCGAUGGCGAAGGCAGCCCCCUGGGCCAACACUGACGCUCAUGCACGAAAGCGUGGGGAGCAAACAGGAUUAGAGACCCGCGUAGUCCCUGUCUCUUAUAA
Molecule: ribosomal RNA, 304 nt
Filed under: uncultured bacterium
Lineage: Bacteria
Description: partial 16S ribosomal RNA
Rfam family: Bacterial small subunit ribosomal RNA
Source: RNAcentral